Molecule: ribosomal RNA, 386 nt
Filed under: uncultured bacterium
Lineage: Bacteria
Description: bacterial SSU rRNA
Rfam family: Bacterial small subunit ribosomal RNA
Source: RNAcentral
GACGAACGCUGGCGGCGUGCUUAACACAUGCAAGUCGAGCGGUAAGGCCCUUUCGGGGGUACACGAGCGGCGAACGGGUGAGUAACACGUGGGUGACCUGCCCUCAGCUCUGGGAUAAGCCCGGGAAACUGGGUCUAAUACUGGAUAUGACUCCAUGACGCAUGUUGUGGGGUGGAAAGCCUUGUGCGGCUGAGGAUGGGCCCGCGGCCUAUCAGCUUGUUGGUGGGGGAUGGCCUACCAAGGCGACGACGGGUAGCCGGCCUGAGAGGGCGACCGGCCACACUGGGACUGAGACACGGCCCAGACUCCUACGGGAGGCAGCAGUGGGGAAUCUUGCGCAAUGGGCGAAAGCCUGACGCAGCGACGCCGCGUGAGGGAUGACGGCC